Molecule: ribosomal RNA, 482 nt
Filed under: uncultured archaeon
Lineage: Archaea
Description: bacterial SSU rRNA
Rfam family: Archaeal small subunit ribosomal RNA
Source: RNAcentral
UUCCGGUUGAUCCUGCCGGACUGACUGCUAUCGGAUUGGUACUAAGCCAUGCGAGUCAUUGUAGCAAUACAAGGCGGACGGCUCAGUAACACGUAGUCAACCUAACUCGUGGACGUGGAUAACCUCGGGAAACUGAGAAUAAACCGCGAUAGACCAUAGUGCCUGGAAUGGCCUAUGAUCAAAAUAGUUUACUGCCAUGGGAUGGGACUGCGGCCUAUCAGCUUGUUGGUGAGGUAAUGGCCCACCAAGGCGAUUACAGGUACGGGCUCUGAGAGGAGAAGCCCGGAGAUGGGUACUGAGACACGGACCCAGGCCCUAUGGGGCGCAGCAGGCGAGAAACCUUAGCAAUGUGCGAAAGCACGACUGGGUCAGUCCGAGUGAUUCCUGAUGAAGGAGUCUUUUGCUUGUCCUAAAAGCACAGGUGAAUAAGGGGUGGGCAAGUCUGGUGUCAGCCGCCGCGGUAAUACCAGCACCUCGAGUGG